Molecule: non-coding RNA, 114 nt
Organism: Acanthosepion pharaonis
Lineage: Eukaryota; Metazoa; Mollusca; Cephalopoda; Sepiida; Sepiidae
Source: the annotation of a GenBank genome assembly
UUACGGCCAUAUUACGUUGAAACACAGGUUACAGUACAAUUACCGAAGUUAAGCAACAUCGCGCUUAGUCAGUACCUAGAUGGGUGACUGCUUUGGAAAACCAGGUGCUGUAAG